GGGAUUCUACACAUGCAGUCGAGCGAGCUCUUCGGAGCUAGCGGCGGACGGGUUAGUAACGCGUGGGAACGUGCCCUUCACUGCGGAAUAGCCACUGGAAACGGUGAGUAAUACCGCAUACGCCCUUCGGGGGAAAGAUUUAUCGGUGAAGGAUCGGCCCGCGUUAGAUUAGAUAGUUGGUGGGGUAACGGCCUACCAAGUCUACGAUCUAUAGCUGGUUUUAGAGGAUGAUCAGCAACACUGGGACUGAGACACGGCCCAGACUCCUACGGGAGGCAGCAGUGGGGAAUCUUGGACAAUGGGCGCAAGCCUGAUCCAGCCAUGCCGCGUGAGUGAUGAAGGCCUUAGGGUCGUAAAGCUCUUUCGCCAGAGAUGAUAAUGACAGUAUCUGGUAAAGAAACCCCGGCUAACUCCGUGCCAGCAGCCGCGGUAAUACGGAGGGGGUUAGCGUUGUUCGGAAUUACUGGGCGUAAAGCGCACGUAGGCGGAUCAGAAAGUUGGGGGUGAAAUCCCGGGGCUCAACCCCGGAACUGCCUCCAAAACUCCUGGUCUUGAGUUCGAGAGAGGUGAGUGGAAUUCCGAGUGUAGAGGUGAAAUUCGUAGAUAUUCGGAGGAACACCAGUGGCGAAGGCGGCUCACUGGCUCGAUACUGACGCUGAG
Molecule: ribosomal RNA, 660 nt
Filed under: Marinovum sp.
Lineage: Bacteria; Pseudomonadati; Pseudomonadota; Alphaproteobacteria; Rhodobacterales; Roseobacteraceae
Description: bacterial SSU rRNA
Rfam family: Bacterial small subunit ribosomal RNA
Source: RNAcentral